This 150-nucleotide non-coding RNA is filed under the name Pseudomonas oryzihabitans. Lineage: Bacteria; Pseudomonadati; Pseudomonadota; Gammaproteobacteria; Pseudomonadales; Pseudomonadaceae. The record is from RNAcentral.
CCUGGCAUGUACCUGCCAGUUCACUACAUCGGCAUGCGUCGGGGGCCAACCCUGGGGUGUGAAGCCCGAUCGACAACGUCCUACCCCAAAUGGGGGUGCGAUGGCUGGUAACAGCCACGUGCAGCUCCCGAAUUGCACGGGGGCAAGGGG